CACAAAAAUAGAGAUAGGGGAAGAGGUACAGGGGAAGUGAGAAAAAAAUUACACAGAGAGAAAGGGGAGGGGGCAGGGAAGUACUGAGGGGCGCAGAAGAGGGGUGACAUGGCCCCAAGGGCCUGGGACUCACCGGAGCGCUGACUCUCUGCAUUACCAGGCAAACUUUACAGUUCUGGCACUUCCUUCUCUGUCUGUGUGUCCUUUCCUGCCUUCCCCUUCUGCAGCUCCAGUCACUUGCCUGUCCUCCACCUAAGAGAACGCGUUAGUGUCUGACAGCGUGAGGCUUCCUAGAUACACAGCCACCCACUACGGGGCCGCCCUAUAUUUGCCAUUGCAUAUACAGAGCCCACGGUGCACGUUGGUGAUCUGGUCUGCCGAGGACUACGCAGAGGGAUCCCUCCUCCCCCGCAGAGCCGCAGCAGCUCCUCGCCAAAGGCAGCAAGCAUCCACCCGCCACCAGGAGAACACAGCCAGAGACAGUCCACCUGGCACACCUCAGCCAGAUGCAGUCAACGGACACCUGAGCCCUCAGUGUGGCCUCUGGGAGAGGGAAAGCAGCAGCAGCUUCGGUUCCUGCAGCCGGCCCCAGGCUGGAGCCCCUCCUGCUGCAGGAGCUCCUCCCCAGCCCUCCCCUCAGCCGGGCCGCAGCCGCAGCAGAGACUGCAGAGACCAACAUGGCCGCCCGGCAGCCCC
Long non-coding RNA from Harpia harpyja (harpy eagle), 696 nucleotides. RefSeq lists it as uncharacterized. The record is from RefSeq and is a predicted model, not a curated record. The transcript is spliced from 3 exons. Lineage: Eukaryota; Metazoa; Chordata; Aves; Accipitriformes; Accipitridae.